RNAcentral lists this long non-coding RNA (1242 nucleotides) under Sorghum bicolor (sorghum). RNAcentral's name for it is "long non-coding RNA (SBIC_LNC008039)". Lineage: Eukaryota; Viridiplantae; Streptophyta; Magnoliopsida; Poales; Poaceae. The record is from RNAcentral.
CUGCAAUGCUUUCACGCCUCACAAGUACACAAGUAUUCAAACAAGGACUCCCCUCCGGAUUAUAGUGAACAAUUAUGACUCAAGACUCACCCAUUUUACCUUUCACCAUGGGGCUUAUAGCUAUCACUUUGGUCUUGGGCAGUUGAAAGAUAGAACAGUUAGGUCGAGCACUAUGCUACCUGCUCUUUGUUCAACUAUUAUUCUAGAGUUUUGCAAGAUUUUCAAAUAAAACUUAUAGUUUCCUUAUAUGACACUUUCUAGUCUCUCAUAUGUGGUAUUUUUGGAUCCUCCCCAAGUCAAGUGAGUAUGCCUUCUCUCUGCUCUCAGAAUAUGUGGUAUUUGUAUCACUAAGACAUAGUUGCCUUCUCUCUCUCACCCUACUUCUAAUUGGCUUAUGUGGAGCUCAUAGGUGGGAAAGAUAAUUCAAACCUACUUGCAUGUAUGGCAUAGUUAAACCAUGGAUAAGAGAAACUAAUUAUACAAUCGAGUCAUAUGUGCCUGUGAGUGAAGUGAAAUGAAGUGAUAAGAAUGAAAUGGCUUAUGAGGGGUGAUAACUGUUGGUGAAUAUCUAAUUCUACAUUUGCUCCUUGGGGAUAACAUACCUCCCUAACCUAAGAACAAGGAUUUGGAUGUCUUUCUUUUCUUUUGCAUUGGGACUUUUGUCCUCUUUUUUUUUAUUUUCUCUCUCUCUCUCUUUUACUCUCUUUUUUUAGAGAUCAACCAUCCCUUUUAAUUCAAUGAUAAUAGUAGGGAGUAUCAACUGGGAUAAUAGGGCUUUAUUGGAUAAGUAGAAUAAGACACUGAAUAUUUUUGGGUGUCUUCUCCAAGUGUAGGAGUAGAACAUUUUCUAAGUGGGUGUGGAAUGUGUGUGGGUGAAUGAAGGAAUGUGUACUCCUAGGGUAGGAGUAGCAUAGGUGGGUGUCUCUAGGAUAGAAACAACACAGAGUGUAGUGCGUAUAUGUGGGUGGUGUUGACGGUCCUUAAGUAUCAAAUAUAAUUAUCAAAUAAACAAAGAAAAGGAUCCAAAUGAAAUCAACAUCUAGACUUAGGGUUUUAUCUGACAGAAUUCCACGAGUUUUGGUGUUUGUCUAUUUCUGCAGGGGGUUAUCAGAAAAUAUGGAAGAAAGGCCCACACGUCGGGAUUACAUAGAGAUAUUAACGUGCCGCGCAAUUAUCUUACAUCUAGAAGACUCCAGAAGCCACGGGAACGAAGCGGAGGCAAAACGGGGCCUGGCCCAGGGC